This 72-nucleotide transfer RNA is filed under the name Actinoplanes italicus. It matches the Rfam family "tRNA". Rfam says of the family: Transfer RNA (tRNA) molecules are approximately 80 nucleotides in length. Their secondary structure includes four short double-helical elements and three loops (D, anti-codon, and T loops). The record is from Rfam by way of RNAcentral. Lineage: Bacteria; Bacillati; Actinomycetota; Actinomycetes; Micromonosporales; Micromonosporaceae.
GUUCCGGUAGCUCAGCAGGAGAGCGCCGCCCCGACAAGGCGGAGGUCGCUGGUGCGAUUCCAGCUCGGAGCA